AUGGGCUCCUCACUCAUUUUCCUUCUACUAGGUUUAGACAUGGCCUUUACAAGUUUGUCUUACAAUCAUUCCACUGCACAUGAGGCCCAUGCACUGCUAACAGCCAUUACAGUGACAGUAAUGUCAAAUGUCAUGGAGCUGGUUCUGUCAGUAGAACUCCAGGAGCUUUGCCAUGGGAAUACCAUCUUUACUCCUAGCAGUGGACUGGAAUGCCCUUGAAAUCCAUAGGAAUCAAUGAAGAUGAGAAAUUUCAGCCUGCAUCUUAUAUCAGAAGUGUUUUAGCAAUUAAUUGGCUGCAUACCUUUUAAGGAGGAAUCUGAAUGUAAGUUGUCCUGCUGCAGCCUUUGGAAAUGCACAAGUCUAUGGGGCCAGAUGGGAUCCACCCCAGAGAGAGCCAGUUGAAGUGCUCAGUGAACCACUUCCCAUCAUUACCAGAAUUUCUGGCUAACGUGGGAGGUUCCAGGAGGAAGGGCCAGGAGGAGGAUCCAGGGAACCAUAACCUGUCAAUCUGACCUUGGUGCCAGGGAAGGCCAUGGAGAAGAUCAUCUUGAGAGCCAUCACACAGCAAAUGUGCAGGGCAUAGGCCCAGCCAGUGUAAGUUCAUGACAGGCAGGUCCUGUUUGACCAACUGAUCUUCUUUGACAAGGAGCUUAGUGGAUGAGGGACAGACUGUGGCUGUCACCUGCCUGGACUUUCAUAAAGCCUCUGAUACCAUUUCCACAGCAUUGUCCUGUAGAAAGUAGCAGCCCAUGGCUGGCUGGGUGCAGAGUUUGCUGGGUAAAAAUUGUCUGUAUGACCUGGCCCAGAGAGUGAUGCUGAACAGAGCUACAUCCAGCUGGUGACUGGCCAUGAGUGAUGCCCACAAGACCCAGUUUUGGGGUCAGCCCAGUUUGAUACCCUUUUUGAUUAUCUGGAUGAGAGGACCAAGGGCAGCCCUUUGCAGAUGACACCACAGUGUGGCCAGCAGGCCCAGGGCCAGGAUCAUCCCCCUGUACUCGGCACUGGUGAGGCCAUGCCUCAAAUCCUGCAUCCAGUUCUGCGUCCCUCACUACAAGAAAAAUAUUGAGGUCAUGCAGGAAGUCCAGAGAAAGGCAAAAGACUGAGCACAAGUCUUAUGAGAAGUGGCUAAAGGAGCUGGGAUUGUUUACCCUGGAGAAAAGGAGGUUCAGGGGAGACCUUAUCACUCUUGAUAAGUCCCUGAAAGAAGAGUGUAGCCAAGUGGGGGCCAGCCUUUUCUUCCAGGGAACAAGAGAAGGACAAGAGAAGAUGGCCUCCAGUUGCUGCAGGCAAGGUUUUGACUAGAUACCAGGAGAAAUUUCUUCAUGGAAAGGGUUGUCAAGUAUUGGGAUAAGUUGUUGAGGGAAGUGGUGGAGUCACCAUCCCUGCAGAUAUUUAAAAGACAUGUACACGUGACACGUAGGAACAUGGUUUGGCAGUGGACUUGGCAAUGCUGGUUUAAAGGUCAGACUCAAUGAUCUUAGAGGUCCUUCCCUAUUUAAAUGAUUUUAUUCUAUUCCAUGGCCUGCAGCAGAUUUGCUCUGGAUGCUGGUAGAAUAGUACCACUAUUCCUGGGAUGGCUCUGAGCUGAUUCUCUCUGUAAAAACAUAGAGCUUACCAUUCCUGGCACAGUGCCAGGCUAAUAAAAAAAAAAAAAAGCCUGAGUCA
RNAcentral lists this long non-coding RNA (1665 nucleotides) under Cyanistes caeruleus (blue tit). Its description in RNAcentral is "lncRNA (ENSCCEG00000014697.1)". Lineage: Eukaryota; Metazoa; Chordata; Aves; Passeriformes; Paridae. The record is from RNAcentral.